GACGAACGCUGGCGGCGUGCCUAAUACAUGCAAGUAGAACGCUGAAGAGAGGAGCUUGCUCUUCUUGGAUGAGUUGCGAACGGGUGAGUAACGCGUAGGUAACCUGCCUUGUAGCGGGGGAUAACUAUUGGAAACGAUAGCUAAUACCGCAUAACAAUGGAUGACACAUGUCAUUUAUUUGAAAGGGGCAAUUGCUCCACUACAAGAUGGACCUGCGUUGUAUUAGCUAGUAGGUGAGGUAAUGGCUCACCCAGGCGACGAUACAUAGCCGACCUGAGAGGGUGAUCGGCAAAACUGGGACGGAGACACGGCCCAGACGCCUACGGGAGGCAGCAGUAGGGAAUCUUCGGCAAUGGGGGCAAACCUGACCGAGCAACGCCGCGUGAGUGAAGAAGGUUUUCGGAUCGUAAAGCUCUGUUGUAAGUCAAGAACGGGUGUGAGAGUGGAAAGUUCACACUGUGACGGUAGCUUACCAGAAAGGGACGGCUAACUACGUG
RNAcentral lists this ribosomal RNA (497 nucleotides) under uncultured bacterium. RNAcentral's name for it is "partial 16S ribosomal RNA". It matches the Rfam family "Bacterial small subunit ribosomal RNA", at positions 28 to 507 of the family's 1533-position model. The record is from RNAcentral.